AAUUUCCGAAUUUAAACUCCCUGGACAGUGUGACUGCGAGUUUUUGGUUGGGGUGACCACGGAGCAUAAUAUAACCUCCAUGCUGAAAGAAUCUUUCUAAGCUAAGAACUACAAAUCCAAGCAUCAAUAAAUUGACAUCCAUUGACCCAAUAUACUUGAACAACGAACCAAGUUACCCUAGGGAUAACAGCGCAAUCCACUUCAAAAGCUCCUAUCGACAAGUGGGUUUACGAC
RNAcentral lists this ribosomal RNA (234 nucleotides) under Bufo bankorensis (Bankor toad). RNAcentral's name for it is "partial 16S ribosomal RNA". It matches the Rfam family "Bacterial large subunit ribosomal RNA", at positions 2223 to 2524 of the family's 2925-position model. The record is from RNAcentral. Lineage: Eukaryota; Metazoa; Chordata; Amphibia; Anura; Bufonidae.